Molecule: ribosomal RNA, 400 nt
Filed under: uncultured bacterium
Lineage: Bacteria
Description: bacterial SSU rRNA
Rfam family: Bacterial small subunit ribosomal RNA
Source: RNAcentral
UGGGGAAUUUUCCGCAAUGGGCGAAAGCCUGACGGAGCAAUACCGCGUGAGGGAGGAAGGCUCUUGGGUUGUAAACCUCUUUUCUCAGGGAAGAAGUUCUGACGGUACCUGAGGAAUAAGCAUCGGCUAACUCCGUGCCAGCAGCCGCGGUAAUACGGAGGAUGCAAGCGUUAUCCGGAAUUAUUGGGCGUAAAGCGUCCGCAGGUGGUUUUGCAAGUCUGCUGUCAAAGCGCGUGGCUCAACCAUGCAAAGGCAGUGGAAACUGAAAAGCUAGAGUGCGAUAGGGGCAGAGGGAAUUCCCGGUGUAGCGGUGAAAUGCGUAGAUAUCGGGAAGAACACCGGUGGCGAAAGCGCUCUGCUAGGUCUGCACUGACACUCAGGGACGAAAGCUAGGGGAGCG